GGGGUUGUGGCUCAGUGGUAGAGCGCUCACCUGGCACGUGCGAGGCCCUGGGUUUGAUCCUCAGCACCA
Molecule: transfer RNA, 69 nt
Filed under: Ictidomys tridecemlineatus (thirteen-lined ground squirrel)
Lineage: Eukaryota; Metazoa; Chordata; Mammalia; Rodentia; Sciuridae
Description: Spermophilus tridecemlineatus (thirteen-lined ground squirrel) tRNA
Rfam family: tRNA
About the family: Transfer RNA (tRNA) molecules are approximately 80 nucleotides in length.
Source: Rfam by way of RNAcentral